AACGAACGCUGGCGGCAGGCCUAACACAUGCAAGUCGAGCGCGCCCUUCGGGGUGAGCGGCGGACGGGUGAGUAACGCGUGGGAACGUGCCCUUUGCUACGGAAUAGUCUCGGGAAACUGGGGGUAAUACCGUAUGAGCCCUUCGGGGGAAAGAUUUAUCGGCAAAGGAUCGGCCCGCGUUGGAUUAGGUAGUUGGUGGGGUAAUGGCCUACCAAGCCGACGAUCCAUAGCUGGUUUGAGAGGAUGAUCAGCCACACUGGGACUGAGACACGGCCCAGACUCCUACGGGAGGCAGCAGUGGGGAAUCUUAGACAAUGGGCGCAAGCCUGAUCUAGCCAUGCCGCGUGAGCGAUGAAGGCCUUAGGGUUGUAAAGCUCUUUCAGUGGGGAAGAUAAUGACUGUACCCACAGAAGAAGCCCGGCUAACUCCGUGCCAGCAGCCGCGGUAAUGUACAGUGU
RNAcentral lists this ribosomal RNA (458 nucleotides) under uncultured bacterium. RNAcentral describes it as "bacterial SSU rRNA". It matches the Rfam family "Bacterial small subunit ribosomal RNA", at positions 29 to 533 of the family's 1533-position model. The record is from RNAcentral.